This 582-nucleotide long non-coding RNA is filed under the name Ornithorhynchus anatinus (platypus). RNAcentral's name for it is "lncRNA (ENSOANG00000042186.1)". The record is from RNAcentral. Lineage: Eukaryota; Metazoa; Chordata; Mammalia; Monotremata; Ornithorhynchidae.
GGGAUGAGGAGUCUAGUGUUUGCCCCAAAUUAGGCUGCCUAUAACCCCCUACCCAUCUCUUUCCAGCUCGGAACUGCUGAUUUCUCCUUCCCAGCUAUGAGACUGAAAUGUCAGGUAACAAACAUGGACCUCAGCUGUUUUCCAGAGGGCAGGAUAGGAGAACCUGGACCUCGGGAUCAGUAAUCCAGUCAUCUCUCAAGAUCAUGUUCCACUGCUCUACAUGAGGAUUACUGCAGAACUUGGGGAAGCUGCUCAACACUUCACCUUGGACUCGAGGACCUUCUCAAUCCCUCAAAAAUGGACCUUCACUCCUUUGAGACUACAGAUUGCCAGGUACCCCCUCCUCCUGCUCCCCUUCCUCCUCCUGCUCCUCCUCCUCAUAAUAAUAGUAAUAAUAAUAGCAAUAAAGAUGGUAUUUAAGUGCUUACUAUGUGUAAAGCACUUUUCUCAGUGCUGGAGUAGGCACAAGCUAAUCAGGUUGGAGACAGUUCCUGUCCCACAUGAGGCUCAUAGUCUUAAUCCGCAUUUUACAGAUGAGACAACUGAGGCACAGAGAAGUGAAGUGACUAGCCCAAGGUUGAC